UACGGAGGGUGCAAGCGUUACUAGGAAUCACUGGGCGUAAAGGGCGCGUAGGCGGCCUAGCAAGUCUGGUGUGAAAGCCCAGGGCUCAACCCUGGAAGGGCACUGGAAACUGUUAGGCUUGAGUUCCGGAGAGGAGGGGGGAAUUCCCUGUGAAGCGGUGAAAUGCGUAGAUAACGGGAGGAAUACCGGUGGCGAAGGCGCUCCUCUGGACGGAAACUGACGCUGAGGUGCCAAAGCGUGGAGAGCAACCAGG
Molecule: ribosomal RNA, 253 nt
Filed under: uncultured bacterium
Lineage: Bacteria
Description: partial 16S ribosomal RNA
Rfam family: Bacterial small subunit ribosomal RNA
Source: RNAcentral